RNAcentral lists this ribosomal RNA (274 nucleotides) under uncultured bacterium. Its description in RNAcentral is "partial 16S ribosomal RNA". It matches the Rfam family "Bacterial small subunit ribosomal RNA", at positions 793 to 1055 of the family's 1533-position model. The record is from RNAcentral.
GUCCACGCCCUAAACUGUGCUCACUUGGUGUGGGGGGAGUCGACCCCCUCCGUGCCGAAGCUAACGCGUUAAGUGAGCCGCCUGGGGGACUACGGUCGCAAGAUUAAAACUCAAAGAAAUUGACGGGGGCCCGCACAAGCGGUGGAGCAUGUGGCUUAAUUCGAUGCAACGCGAAGAACCUUACCUGGCCUUGACAUCGAUCGUGAAAAACCGGUGAAAGCCGGUGACGGCCCGAAAGGGUGCUGGGGAUCGACAGGUGCUGCAUGGUUGUCGU